Molecule: unclassified non-coding RNA, 322 nt
Filed under: soil metagenome
Description: partial contains 5.8S ribosomal RNA, internal transcribed spacer 2, and large subunit ribosomal RNA
Rfam family: 5.8S ribosomal RNA (bases 1-120)
Source: RNAcentral
GAUGAAGAACGUAGCGAAAUGCGAUAAGUAAUGUGAAUUGCAGAAUUCAGUGAAUCAUCGAAUCUUUGAACGCACAUUGCGCCCUUUGGCAUUCCGAAGGGCACACCUGUCCGAGCGCCGUCGCACAACUGAGGCGCAGCCUUGCGUUGGCGGGCGACUUGUGAGUAGCGAGUCGCCGCCCAUACGAGACGGCGCCGCGCCGCGGCCGACGAAGCACGAAAGCGGAAGUCGACGCGGAGGCGGUUGCCUGUAGGAAGACACAGCUUGGCCUCGGAUCAGGUGGGGAUACCCGCUGAACUUAAGCAUAUCAAUAAGCGGAGGA